GGAGGGGUACCCAAGCGGCCAAAGGGAGCAGACUGUAAAUCUGCCGUCGUCAUGACUUCGGAGGUUCGAAUCCUCCCCCCUCCACCA
RNAcentral lists this transfer RNA (87 nucleotides) under Acidobacteriota bacterium. Its description in RNAcentral is "Acidobacteria bacterium tRNA-Tyr". It matches the Rfam family "tRNA". Rfam says of the family: Transfer RNA (tRNA) molecules are approximately 80 nucleotides in length. Their secondary structure includes four short double-helical elements and three loops (D, anti-codon, and T loops). Further hydrogen bonds mediate the characteristic L-shaped molecular structure. tRNAs have two regions of fundamental functional importance: the anti-codon, which is responsible for specific mRNA codon recognition, and the 3' end, to which the tRNAs corresponding amino acid is attached (by aminoacyl-tRNA synthetases). tRNAs cope with the degeneracy of the genetic code in two manners: having more than one tRNA (with a specific anti-codon) for a particular amino acid; and 'wobble' base-pairing, i.e. permitting non-standard base-pairing at the 3rd anti-codon position. The record is from RNAcentral. Lineage: Bacteria; Pseudomonadati; Acidobacteriota.